This 106-nucleotide microRNA precursor is filed under the name Canis lupus familiaris (dog). Its description in RNAcentral is "mir-8834 microRNA precursor family". It matches the Rfam family "mir-8834 microRNA precursor family". The record is from Rfam by way of RNAcentral. Lineage: Eukaryota; Metazoa; Chordata; Mammalia; Carnivora; Canidae. RNAcentral also lists the same sequence under 1 other name.
AGGAGGAACAACCACAGUGGUGGGGCCAGCUCUGGAGCCCUGGAUUCAGCUCCUGCAGUAACUUCAGAGCUCUCAGUCUGCAGGGGCCUGGAUGUUCCAGGGCGGG